AAUUCGCCCUUAGAGUUUGAUCCUGGCUCAGAUUGAACGCUGGCGGCAUGGCUAAAACAUGCAAGUCGAACGCGAAAGAGGAGCAAUCCUCGAGUAGAGUGGCGAAAGGGUGAGUAAUACGUUCCUACGUGCCUUGAGGUCAGGGAUAGCCAGGGGAAACUCUGGGUAAUACCUGAUGUGGUCUCCGGAUCAAAGGCUUGCCGCCUCAAGAGCGGGGAACGUCCUAUCAGCUAGUUGGUGAGGUAAUGGCUCACCAAGGCGAAGACGGGUAGCGGGUGUGAGAGCACGGCCCGCCACAUCGGAACUGAGACACUGUCCGGACUCCUACGGGAGGCUGCAGUAACGAAUCUUCCGCAAUGCGCGAAAGCGUGACGGAGCGAUGCCGCGUGCAGGAUGAAGCCCCUCGGGGUGUAAACUGCUGUCAGGGAUUAGCAACACAAUGAGCAGUCCCAAAGGAAGAGACGACUAACUCUGUGCCAGCAGUCGCGGUAAUACAGAGGUCUCGAGCGUUAGUCGGAAUCACUGGGCUUAAAGCGUACGUAGGCGGAUCUGCAGGCGUCGUGUGAAAUACCUCGGCUCAACCGAGGAACUGCACGGCGAACCGCAGGUCUUGAGACGAGUAGGGGCGGUCGGAACGAUAGGUGGAGUGGUGAAAUGCGUUGAUAUCUAUCGGAACGCCGAAGGUGAAGACAGGCCGCUGGGCUGACACUGACGCUCAUGCACGAAAGCGUGGGGAGCAAACAGGAUUAGAUACCCUGGUAGUCCACGCCCUAAACGAUGUCGACUGGUUGUUGGGGGUU
Molecule: ribosomal RNA, 800 nt
Filed under: uncultured soil bacterium
Lineage: Bacteria
Description: bacterial SSU rRNA
Rfam family: Bacterial small subunit ribosomal RNA
Source: RNAcentral